GCUCCAAUAGCGUAUAUUUAAGUUGCUGCAGUUAAAAAGCUCGUAGUUGGAUUUCGGGCGGCCUGUGCCGGUCCGCCUUUGGCGUGCACUGGUGCGGGGCGCUUGUUGCCGGGGGACGGGCUGCUGGGCUUCACUGUCCGGCACUCGGAGUCGGCGCUGUUACCUUGAGUAAUUAGAGUGUUCAAAGCAGGCAUACGCUC
Molecule: ribosomal RNA, 200 nt
Filed under: uncultured eukaryote
Lineage: Eukaryota
Description: partial 18S ribosomal RNA
Rfam family: Eukaryotic small subunit ribosomal RNA
Source: RNAcentral